This 257-nucleotide ribosomal RNA is filed under the name uncultured bacterium. RNAcentral describes it as "partial 16S ribosomal RNA". It matches the Rfam family "Bacterial small subunit ribosomal RNA", at positions 524 to 776 of the family's 1533-position model. The record is from RNAcentral.
UACGUAGGGCGCAAGCGUUAUCCGGAAUUAUUGGGCGUAAAGAGCUCGUAGGCGGUUUGUCGCGUCUGCUGUGAAAACCUAAGGCUCAACCUUGGGCUUGCAGUGGGUACGGGCAGACUAGAGUGCGGUAGGGGGUGACUGGAAUUCCUGGUGUAGCGGUGGAAUGCGCAGAUAUCAGGAGGAACACCGAUGGCGAAGGCAGGUCACUGGGCCGCAACUGACGCUGAGAACGCGAAAAGCGUGGGGGAGCAAACAGG